RNAcentral lists this ribosomal RNA (520 nucleotides) under uncultured Glomus. RNAcentral describes it as "SSU rRNA". It matches the Rfam family "Eukaryotic small subunit ribosomal RNA", at positions 569 to 1092 of the family's 1831-position model. The record is from RNAcentral. Lineage: Eukaryota; Fungi; Glomeromycota; Glomeromycetes; Glomerales; Glomeraceae.
AGCAGCCGCGGUAAUUCCAGCUCCAAUAGCGUAUAUUAAAGUUGUUGCAGUUAAAAAGCUCGUAGUUGAAUUUCGGGGUCAGUACGCCGGUCGUGCCUUCGGUAUGCACUGGUGUCACUGAUUCCUCCCUUCUGAAGAACCGUUAUGCCAUUCAUUUGGUGUGACGGGGAAUCAGGACUGUUACUUUGAAAAAAUUAGAGUGUUUAAAGCAGGCUCGCGCUUGAAUACAUUAGCAUGGAAUAAUGAAAUAGGACGUUUGAUCUUAUUUUGUUGGUUUCUAGGAUCGACGUAAUGAUUAAUAGGGAUAGUUGGGGGCAUUAGUAUUCAAUUGUCAGAGGUGAAAUUCUUGGAUUUAUUGAAGACUAACUACUGCGAAAGCAUUUGCCAAGGAUGUUUUCAUUAAUCAAGAACGAAAGUUAGGGGAUCGAAGACGAUCAGAUACCGUCGUAGUCUUAACCAUAAACUAUGCCGACUAGGGAUCGGAUGAUGUUAUUUUUAAUGACUCAUUCGGCGCCUUACG